AAGGCCUUUUGGUUGUAAAGCACUUUAAGCGAGGAGGAGGCUACCUAGAUUAAUACUUUAGGAUAGUGGACGUUACUCGCAGAAUAAGCACCGGCUAACUCUGUGCCAGCAGCCGCGGUAAUACAGAGGGUGCGAGCGUUAAUCGGAUUUACUGGGCGUAAAGCGUGCGUAGGCGGCCAAUUAAGUCAAAUGUGAAAUCCCCCGAGCUUAACUUGGGAAUUGCAUUCGAUACUGGUUGGCUAGAGUAUGGGAGAGGAUGGUAGAAUUCCAGGUGUAGCGGUGAAAUGCGUAGAGAUCUGGAGGAAUACCGAUGGCGAAGGCAGCCAUCUGGCCUAAUACUGACGCUGAGGUACGAAAGCAUGGGGAGCAAACAGGAUUAGAUACCCUGGUAGUCCAUGCCGUAAACGAUGUCUACUAGCCGUUGGGGCCCUUGAGGCUUUAGUGGCGCAGCUAACGCGAUAAGUAGACCGCCUGGGGAGUACGGUCGCAAGACUAAAACUCAAAUGAAUUGACGGGGGCCCGCACAAGCGGUGGAGCAUGUGGUUUAAUUCGAUGCAACGCGAAGAACCUUACCUGGCCUUGACAUACAGAGAACUUUCCAGAGAUGGAUUGGUGCCUUCGGGAACUCUGAUACAGGUGCUGCAUGGCUGUCGUCAGCUCGUGUCGUGAGAUGUUGGGUUAAGUCCCGCAACGAGCGCAACCCUUUUCCUUAUUUGCCAGCACUUCGGGUGGGAACUUUAAAGGAUACUGCCAGUGACAAACUGGAGGAAGGCGGGGACGACGUCAAGUCAUCAUGGGCCC
Molecule: ribosomal RNA, 801 nt
Filed under: Acinetobacter radioresistens
Lineage: Bacteria; Pseudomonadati; Pseudomonadota; Gammaproteobacteria; Moraxellales; Moraxellaceae
Also listed under: 1 other name
Description: bacterial SSU rRNA
Rfam family: Bacterial small subunit ribosomal RNA
Source: RNAcentral